RNAcentral lists this long non-coding RNA (701 nucleotides) under Malus domestica (apple). Its description in RNAcentral is "long non-coding RNA (MDOM_LNC021075)". The record is from RNAcentral. Lineage: Eukaryota; Viridiplantae; Streptophyta; Magnoliopsida; Rosales; Rosaceae.
AAGGUUUAAUUAUUUAUGGCAAGGAUUAAUUAAUAUGUUAAUUAAUCAAACGAAUAAGUUCGUUAAAGACCUUGGGAUAGUUUUGGACCUUAAGGCCCAAUGGGCUUCGAACGUCAAGCCCAUUGAUUUAAGUUGUAUGACAAUUUUAUGAAUAAAGAUUCACAAAGGCCCAAAAGCCCAAAUCCCUUAUAUGGCCGGCCAUGUGUGUUGAAUUAGGGUUUUUGGUUCUUUAGGUCAUUUAAAGAAGUGACUAUAUAAAGAACUUUAUAGCCUAAAAUUCAUUAAGGGUUUCUUUUAGAGAAAAUUGGUGAGAACUUGUCUCUCCUUUUCUCUCUAGGAGGCCGGCCCCCUUGGAGGGUGGAUCUAGCAAUCCCACUACUCCAAGGUCACUCAUUCCUUUUCCAAUCUCUCCUUGGUGUGGAGACUUAGAGGUUCUCAAUUUUGGGAACUUGGAGAAACCUUUUCAUCCAUCCAAAUCCAUAGAUUUUAGAUGCAAGGAAUGAUGGCCCUCUCUUUGGGUGAUUAGCCUUUGCUUAUGCAAAGAGGAAUCUACAAAGGUAUAAAUCUCAACUCACUUUGUUUUGAGUUGAUUCUUGGUUCACCAAUCUAAUAGGCUUUGAAUUUCAAGGGUAAUGUUUUGUUUUUGAGUGCAUGCAAGCAUGAUUCCGCCUUUAAUUGUUAAUUGCAUGCUAUAUGAUGUU